Molecule: long non-coding RNA, 2316 nt
Organism: Amphiprion ocellaris (clown anemonefish)
Lineage: Eukaryota; Metazoa; Chordata; Actinopteri; Pomacentridae
Source: Ensembl
GGAAGUGGUCAUCAGGAAGUGUAGAGCCAAACAGAGUACGGUGCAUAGACUGUACAGACAUUUUUUUCCGUUAGUUUUCAUGGUCAGAAUGAGAGAUCAGGUGGCCGAUCUUAAAAUAAAUCAAUAUUGAUUUUUUUUAUAGAGCAUUAAAGUUUUGCAAAGCGAGGAGGCGGGACUACUUGAUUGACAGUCCGGUCUGGAAUGAUUGACAGGUCCUAUGGAGGAGGCAGCAGAGACUCUGUUCUCCUCGUUUGGAUUAAUUCUGAUAUAAUAACUGUUGGUUUAUUUAUCGGUGGAGCAGCAGAACAUUUUCCAGGCAGUUUUCCUUCCCGUUGGCUUGUUUUAACCAGUUUUCUACCUUCGGCUGAUUCUACCAGCAGACACUGAAAGGACUCUGAUAGUUCGAGUGAAAGCAGCAGUUCCUCCUUAAGGUCAGAGAUUGCAGCAUCUGAGGACCUCUUCAAAAGAAGAUGUAGUUGAUGAAGGCGUUCUGGAGCAGGACCAGAAAGACCACGACCAAGCAGCCUUUACAUCUUAGGCAGCGUCUCCCUGAGGUCCCUCUCUAUCUCCACACACAUCCACCAACCACUGGAACACAUCUCCAAAGUUCUGCCGGGCCAGCUCAGCUUCCCCUCAGAAGAAGUGCUACCAGAUGAAGGAGCCUUUUGAGAGGCAGCUGGCAUCGUGAUUGGACUGUACUUUGGUCUGUUCCAAUCCAGCUUCAGCUCCAGAGACGGCAGGCGGGACGAGUCAACGGAGGCCGGGUGGACGAAGGCAUGCAGCUGAGUACAAUCCAGAAAACAACAGAGGAGGAGUGCAGUGGCCCAGGGCCAGAACAAGCAGAGUACCAUUACCAAAGAACUACAGACUCUUCACAACCUGCUCAAACUCUUGGUACAGGACCUCACCACACGGGUCAAGAAGGUUUCUGUCUCAUUUCUACUCUGAAGAUCACCUUCUCCUGCUCAAACUGCUGACAAAUGUUUCUGCUGCUCUAAAGUCUGGUCUCCAGAACUUCCUAAAAACUCUCAAAGUCUCUUCUGCUGCAGGUUGCUUUGUAGAACUGUCGCAGAAAACCUCACUAAACCACAUGGAGGGGCCUCAAGAUAGUCGUCCAAAUGAAAUCGUACAAAAACCAAACUAGCACAACCCAAACACUAAACUCUCCUGCAGCCUACCAGAGAACCUCUGAGAACAGAGAAUCAGGACAGGAACUCUUACCUUCUGGACAACCAACAUUGGUUCUCAAACAAGAAUACAGAAUGUGUCUGACCAAAAACCUCUAAAGACUCACUACAGCCAAGAUAAAGACACAACUCAGCUGCACCAAAUCCACUAAUCACUGCACACAUUAGGACCAUGUGCUAACUGUGGCUAAAGAACCACAUUUACCAAGACAACUAUCCAGUACAAAGCCAUAAAACACACCAAGAAACACAUUAAAGACGAUUUUACUGCUGGAAGCUGCAAGCCAACACCUAAAGAACAAACUGAAGCAAUGGCGCUAAACCUGAUUCAGUGGUGAAUAGAAGCAGAGGAAAUGUUUGUCUGCAGCUAAAUAAAGCAGGAAGACACUGAGCUGCUCAGGUGUUCCUGAUAACACCAAGCAGCCACCUGGACAGCCAAUAAGAACACAGCUUCCUGGAAGUCCAGAGGGCUGGGUUAGUGAAGGAAAUUUAAUUUAAAGUUGAAGCAGAAAGUUAACAAAGAAAGUUGAAAACCACCUUCUGAUACCUGAAAUCUCUGAGUUUUCACACAAAGAACACCUGAACAUGUCAAACUGGUUUCAUAGUAGAACCAUCAUUGUAAAAACGUCAUAGUAUGGUGUGUUGCUCAAAAAACAUUACGACCCGGCUGUCUAGGGUCACUGAGGAGCAACACAAAAACAGGACAAACGCUGGUUUCCAGGGGGUUAGGCGGCUAUUUAUUUGAAAGAGCAAGUUUACAACAACACAUGUGAGCAGAAAAAUCACAGUCUGUCUUUCGUUCAGCUGAAAAUAUUAGUUUUUGCCUUUUUUAUUGACCAAAUUUUUCAGGAAGUAGAUGAAGAAUAAUUAAAGCUCUCAUGUAGAAGUCCAACUUAUUUUGGCUCCUUGUGGAGAGUUUAAUCUUAGAGUUUGUACAGCUGUUUAGUUUUUAGAGUCACAUGGAUUGUUUUGUCUUCCCCUCUACCUCUUCUGUCCCUCUCAACCCGCCCGGUCAGCAGGCAGAUGGGUCCCCCCACAUUAGAGCCGGGUUCUGCUCGAGGUUUUUUUCCCUGUUAAAAGGGUGUUUUCCUUGCCACUGUCACCUUUUGGCUUGCUCUGGAGGUCAGGC